Oncorhynchus tshawytscha (Chinook salmon) is the source of this 1119-nucleotide long non-coding RNA. The record is from Ensembl. NCBI's taxonomy places the organism in Eukaryota, Metazoa, Chordata, Actinopteri, Salmoniformes, Salmonidae.
UAUACAGUACUGGAUUGAAUCCCAGGCUGUGUGUAUCUAUACAGUAUUGGAUUGAAUCCCAGCCUGUGUGUGUCUAUACAGUAUUGGAUUGAAUCCCAGGCUGUGUGUGUCUAUACAGUAUUGGACUGAAUCCCAGGCUGUGUGUCUAUACAGUAUUGGAUUGAAUCCCAACCUAUGUGUGUCUAUACAGUAUUGGAUUGAAUCCCAGCCUAUGUGUCUGUACAGUAAUGGAUUGAAUCCCAGCCUAUGUGUCUAUGUCUGUACAGUGUUGGAUUGAAUCCCAGUCUGUGUGUCUAUACAGUAUUGGAUUAAAUCCCAGCCUGUGUGUGUCUAUACAGUAUUGGAUUGAAUCCCAGCCUAUGUGUCUGUCUGUACAGUAUUGGAUUGAAUCCCAGCCUAUGUGUCUGUCUGUACAGUAUUGGUUUGAAUCCCAGCCUGUGUGUGUCUAUACAGUAUUGGAUUGAAUCCCAGCCUAUGUGUCUGUCUGUACAGUAUUGGAUUGAAUCCCAGUCUGUGUGUCUGUCUAUACAGUAUUGGAUUGAAUCCCAGCCUGUCUGUCUGUCUAUACAGUAUUGGAUUGUAUCCCAACCUAUGUGUCUAUACAGUAUUGGAUUGAAUCCCAGCCUAUGUGUCUGUACAGUAUUGGAUUGAAUCCCAGCCUAUGUGUCUAUACAGUAUUGGAUUGAAUCCCAACCUAUGUGUGUCUAUACAGUUGACCAUCAUUUCUCAUGUUGAUAGUGGAGUCUCUUCUGGUUCUAAAGUACAGUUGUGUUCUAAUACAGUAUAAUGGAACCCUUCUACUUCACAAUGGGAGUGUAACAAUGGAGCAGAACGUUCUGUUUUCUCUUUUCCAAACUGGUUGAAAGACUAUUUAACCCUGUAACCCAGCAACACGUCUGGCUGAUACUAACUCACAGUCCUGCUGACUUCAGUCUUGAAAGACUAUUUAACCCUGUAACCCAGCAACACGUCUGGCUGAUACUAACUCACAGUCCUGCUGACUUCAGUCUUGAAAGACUAUUUAACCCUGUAACCCAGCAACACGUCUGGCUGAUACUAACUCACAGUCCUGCUGACUUCAGUCUUGAAAGACUAUUUAACCCUGUAACCCAGCAACAA